This 2904-nucleotide ribosomal RNA is filed under the name Escherichia coli. RNAcentral's name for it is "23S ribosomal RNA". It matches the Rfam family "Bacterial large subunit ribosomal RNA". RNAcentral also lists the same sequence under 2 other names. Lineage: Bacteria; Pseudomonadati; Pseudomonadota; Gammaproteobacteria; Enterobacterales; Enterobacteriaceae. The record is from RNAcentral.
GGUUAAGCGACUAAGCGUACACGGUGGAUGCCCUGGCAGUCAGAGGCGAUGAAGGACGUGCUAAUCUGCGAUAAGCGUCGGUAAGGUGAUAUGAACCGUUAUAACCGGCGAUUUCCGAAUGGGGAAACCCAGUGUGUUUCGACACACUAUCAUUAACUGAAUCCAUAGGUUAAUGAGGCGAACCGGGGGAACUGAAACAUCUAAGUACCCCGAGGAAAAGAAAUCAACCGAGAUUCCCCCAGUAGCGGCGAGCGAACGGGGAGCAGCCCAGAGCCUGAAUCAGUGUGUGUGUUAGUGGAAGCGUCUGGAAAGGCGCGCGAUACAGGGUGACAGCCCCGUACACAAAAAUGCACAUGCUGUGAGCUCGAUGAGUAGGGCGGGACACGUGGUAUCCUGUCUGAAUAUGGGGGGACCAUCCUCCAAGGCUAAAUACUCCUGACUGACCGAUAGUGAACCAGUACCGUGAGGGAAAGGCGAAAAGAACCCCGGCGAGGGGAGUGAAAAAGAACCUGAAACCGUGUACGUACAAGCAGUGGGAGCACGCUUAGGCGUGUGACUGCGUACCUUUUGUAUAAUGGGUCAGCGACUUAUAUUCUGUAGCAAGGUUAACCGAAUAGGGGAGCCGAAGGGAAACCGAGUCUUAACUGGGCGUUAAGUUGCAGGGUAUAGACCCGAAACCCGGUGAUCUAGCCAUGGGCAGGUUGAAGGUUGGGUAACACUAACUGGAGGACCGAACCGACUAAUGUUGAAAAAUUAGCGGAUGACUUGUGGCUGGGGGUGAAAGGCCAAUCAAACCGGGAGAUAGCUGGUUCUCCCCGAAAGCUAUUUAGGUAGCGCCUCGUGAAUUCAUCUCCGGGGGUAGAGCACUGUUUCGGCAAGGGGGUCAUCCCGACUUACCAACCCGAUGCAAACUGCGAAUACCGGAGAAUGUUAUCACGGGAGACACACGGCGGGUGCUAACGUCCGUCGUGAAGAGGGAAACAACCCAGACCGCCAGCUAAGGUCCCAAAGUCAUGGUUAAGUGGGAAACGAUGUGGGAAGGCCCAGACAGCCAGGAUGUUGGCUUAGAAGCAGCCAUCAUUUAAAGAAAGCGUAAUAGCUCACUGGUCGAGUCGGCCUGCGCGGAAGAUGUAACGGGGCUAAACCAUGCACCGAAGCUGCGGCAGCGACGCUGAUGCGUUGUUGGGUAGGGGAGCGUUCUGUAAGCCUGCGAAGGUGUGCUGUGAGGCAUGCUGGAGGUAUCAGAAGUGCGAAUGCUGACAUAAGUAACGAUAAAGCGGGUGAAAAGCCCGCUCGCCGGAAGACCAAGGGUUCCUGUCCAACGUUAAUCGGGGCAGGGUGAGUCGACCCCUAAGGCGAGGCCGAAAGGCGUAGUCGAUGGGAAACAGGUUAAUAUUCCUGUACUUGGUGUUACUGCGAAGGGGGGACGGAGAAGGCUAUGUUGGCCGGGCGACGGUUGUCCCGGUUUAAGCGUGUAGGCUGGUUUUCCAGGCAAAUCCGGAAAAUCAAGGCUGAGGCGUGAUGACGAGGCACUACGGUGCUGAAGCAACAAAUGCCCUGCUUCCAGGAAAAGCCUCUAAGCAUCAGGUAACAUCAAAUCGUACCCCAAACCGACACAGGUGGUCAGGUAGAGAAUACCAAGGCGCUUGAGAGAACUCGGGUGAAGGAACUAGGCAAAAUGGUGCCGUAACUUCGGGAGAAGGCACGCUGAUAUGUAGGUGAAGUCCCUUGCGGAUGGAGCUGAAAUCAGUCGAAGAUACCAGCUGGCUGCAACUGUUUAUUAAAAACACAGCACUGUGCAAACACGAAAGUGGACGUAUACGGUGUGACGCCUGCCCGGUGCCGGAAGGUUAAUUGAUGGGGUCAGCGCAAGCGAAGCUCUUGAUCGAAGCCCCGGUAAACGGCGGCCGUAACUAUAACGGUCCUAAGGUAGCGAAAUUCCUUGUCGGGUAAGUUCCGACCUGCACGAAUGGCGUAAUGAUGGCCAGGCUGUCUCCACCCGAGACUCAGUGAAAUUGAACUCGCUGUGAAGAUGCAGUGUACCCGCGGCAAGACGGAAAGACCCCGUGAACCUUUACUAUAGCUUGACACUGAACAUUGAGCCUUGAUGUGUAGGAUAGGUGGGAGGCUUUGAAGUGUGGACGCCAGUCUGCAUGGAGCCGACCUUGAAAUACCACCCUUUAAUGUUUGAUGUUCUAACGUGGACCCGUGAUCCGGGUUGCGGACAGUGUCUGGUGGGUAGUUUGACUGGGGCGGUCUCCUCCUAAAGAGUAACGGAGGAGCACGAAGGUUGGCUAAUCCUGGUCGGACAUCAGGAGGUUAGUGCAAUGGCAUAAGCCAGCUUGACUGCGAGCGUGACGGCGCGAGCAGGUGCGAAAGCAGGUCAUAGUGAUCCGGUGGUUCUGAAUGGAAGGGCCAUCGCUCAACGGAUAAAAGGUACUCCGGGGAUAACAGGCUGAUACCGCCCAAGAGUUCAUAUCGACGGCGGUGUUUGGCACCUCGAUGUCGGCUCAUCACAUCCUGGGGCUGAAGUAGGUCCCAAGGGUAUGGCUGUUCGCCAUUUAAAGUGGUACGCGAGCUGGGUUUAGAACGUCGUGAGACAGUUCGGUCCCUAUCUGCCGUGGGCGCUGGAGAACUGAGGGGGGCUGCUCCUAGUACGAGAGGACCGGAGUGGACGCAUCACUGGUGUUCGGGUUGUCAUGCCAAUGGCACUGCCCGGUAGCUAAAUGCGGAAGAGAUAAGUGCUGAAAGCAUCUAAGCACGAAACUUGCCCCGAGAUGAGUUCUCCCUGACUCCUUGAGAGUCCUGAAGGAACGUUGAAGACGACGACGUUGAUAGGCCGGGUGUGUAAGCGCAGCGAUGCGUUGAGCUAACCGGUACUAAUGAACCGUGAGGCUUAACCUU